RNAcentral lists this ribosomal RNA (496 nucleotides) under uncultured bacterium. RNAcentral's name for it is "partial 16S ribosomal RNA". It matches the Rfam family "Bacterial small subunit ribosomal RNA", at positions 29 to 523 of the family's 1533-position model. The record is from RNAcentral.
AUUGAACGCUGGCGGCAUGCUUUACACAUGCAAGUCGAACGGUAGAGGGGGCAACCCCUUGAGAGUGGCGAACGGGUGAGUAAUGCAUCGGAACGUGCCCAGUCGUGGGGGAUAACGCAGCGAAAGCUGUGCUAAUACCGCAUACGAUCUCUGGAUGAAAGCGGGGGACCGAAAGGCCUCGCGCGAUUGGAGCGGCCGAUGUCAGAUUAGGUAGGUGGUGGGGUAAAGGCUCACCAAGCCAACGAUCUGUAGCUGGUCUGAGAGGACGACCAGCCAGACGGGGACUGAGACACGGCCCAGACUCCUACUGGAGGCAGCAGUGGGGAAUUUUGGACAAUGGGCGCAAGCCUGAUCCAGCAAUGCCGCGUGCAGGAAGAAGGCCUUCGGUUUGUAAACUGCUUUUGUACGGAACGAAAAGGUCUGGGUUAAUACCCUGGGCACAUGACGGUACCGUAAGAAUAAGCACCGGCUAACUACGUGCCAGCAGCCGCCGUAA